AGGAAGUGCGCUCGGGGCUGCUGCCCGGUUGUUGGGGGGGGCAGCACCGGGCUCGGGCCCGGGGACCCCCCCCCCGCCCCGCGGUGCGGCCGGUGCGGGUCCACCACGGAGCUCUGCCCUCCAUGGAGCCAAAGCGGGUGGAGGAAGGAGAUAAACCCCUUCAGCGGUGCGGGGGCUGCAAAGGGCAGGAACGGCAUUUACAACUGGAGAAGCGGGUUUACACCCACCAGGGACAACGUGCUCCAGGAGAGGGAAGAAGAGGGAGGACGGUCCCUGCUCUGCUCAUCAUCUCCUUUCGUGCUUCCCUUGGCUCAUGCCCUCCUCACACAGAGCCCUGGAGCUGCAGUGCCCCUCUCCAGCCCUGUUUGUGGUGUUACACAGCACCAAGCCAAGGAGUUCUGCUCAUCAAAGGCUUGGCUGGUUCCUGCACAUGGCCAGGUUCUCCUCCUACGUGGCUCCUUCAUUAAAGACUUCUCUCUGCUUUCCAGUA
Long non-coding RNA from Strigops habroptila (Kakapo), 490 nucleotides. RefSeq lists it as uncharacterized. Lineage: Eukaryota; Metazoa; Chordata; Aves; Psittaciformes; Psittacidae. The record is from RefSeq and is a predicted model, not a curated record. The transcript has 2 exons.